This 1932-nucleotide ribosomal RNA is filed under the name Triticum aestivum (bread wheat). RNAcentral's name for it is "partial small subunit ribosomal RNA". The record is from RNAcentral. Lineage: Eukaryota; Viridiplantae; Streptophyta; Magnoliopsida; Poales; Poaceae.
AUGGCGACCAUCGGCGUCGUCGUCCUCCUUCUCCUCCUACUCGCGCCGACACCGUAUCUGGCGGCCGCCGAUUUCUGCGACAACGUCAAGGCCGCCGGCGCCGCGCUCUCCCGAAACGCCUCCGCUUCACCGGUACAGUUCGCCACGGCCACCAUCGGGCAGGCCCCCGACGUGGUCUACGCGCUGGCGCUCUGCCUCGGCGACGUCCUCGACAGCACCGCCUGUGGCACCUGCAUCGCCGACUGGUUCGCCACCGUAAACCAGACGCAGUGCGACAAGGUGGGCUUCAGCUACCGCGACUGCAUCGUCGUGUACGGCGCCGGCGCCGACAUCCUGGGGGCGCCCUCGAACGCCACGGGGGGAUCCGGGGACAACACGCCGCCCUUCCAGGAUUGGAACAUCAGGAACGUCACCGCCGACGACGCCCCCCGCAUCGUCAACCUCACCUUCGAGCUGCUGGCCGCGACCGCGCGGAUGGCGGCCACCACGACGCCCAAGUUGUACGCCACCGGCAUCAUGGACAUGAAAAGAGUGACAACCUACCUGGACGUGUACUCGCAGGUGCAGUGCACGCCGGACCUGUCCGCCGACGACUGCUCGGCGUGCCUGCGCCGCCUCCUCGGGAUGGUCAACUCCACCAUGUCCCUGCGCAUGGGUGGGCGGAUGGGUGUCACGCGGUGCUUUUUCAGGUACGAGGCGUUUCCUUUGUACGGCGCCCGGCCCAUGCUAAGCCUGCCGUUGUCGCCGCCGGGGCCGGCUCCGACGACUCCGACCAAACGCAGGAGCAUGCUGUGGGUGAUUCCCGUAGCUGUAGUUCCUCUAACAGCAGCAGCGUUUUUCUUCUUCAUCUGUUACCGUCGACGGCUAAAAAGGCAAAGAAAAGGAUCAAGACGUGCUCACAGUUUGGAGUGGCAAGGGAAAAAUUCGGAUUUCUCUUUGUUUGAGUUUGAACAUCUACUGGAGGCCACAAGAAAUUUUUCGGAAGAAAGCAAACUUGGGCAAGGUGGCUUCGGCGCUGUCUACAAGGGCCAGCUUCCAGAUGGGUCGGAGAUAGCGGUUAAGAGACUUGCUUCACAUUCAGGACAGGGUUUCAUGGAGUUUAAAAAUGAGGUCCAGCUCAUAGCCAAACUCCAACACACGAAUUUGGUUAGACUCUUGGGGUGUUGCUCUCAAGAAGAGGAGAAAAUACUGGUCUAUGAAUACUUGCCAAACAAAAGCUUGGAUUUCUUCAUCUUUGAUGAGAAUAAAAGAGCUUUGCUGGAUUGGACAAAACUUGCAGCAAUAAUUGAAGGGGUAGCAAACGGACUUCUCUACUUACAUAAGCACUCUCGAUUGCUUGUCAUACAUCGAGAUCUUAAACCAAGCAACAUUCUCUUGGACAGUGAAAUGAAUCCAAAAAUUUCAGAUUUCGGGCUAGCAAAAAUAUUUAGCUCAAAUGACACCGAAGGAGACAUUACAAGAAGAGUGGUUGGCACAUAUGGCUACAUGGCCCCUGAGUAUGCUUCGAAAGGAAACUUCUCUAUUAAAUCCGACAUAUUCAGCUUUGGUGUUGUCAUUCUUGAGAUCCUAAGCGGGAAACGGAAUUCUGGUACCCAACAAUGUGGAUGUUUCAUCAAUCUGCUUGGAUAUGCAUGGCAAUUAUGGGAAGAGGGAAAGUGGAUUGACCUUGUUGAUGUAUCAUUGGUUUCUGAUAGUCACUCAACAAAGAUAAUGAGGUGCAUUAACAUAGCAUUGUUGUGCGUACAAGAGAAUGCAGUUGAUCGACCAACCAUGGGAGAUAUUGUGUCAAUGCUAAGAAAUGAGACUAUGAUCUUGGCUGAGCCUAAGCAGCCAGCAUAUAUCAAUGUAAGAGUAGGAAAUGAAGAGACGUCCAUUGCUCCUGAGUCAUAUAGUAUCAAUGAUGUGAGCAUAUCAAUCACAAGUCCUAGGUAG